This 2291-nucleotide ribosomal RNA is filed under the name human gut metagenome. RNAcentral describes it as "bacterial LSU rRNA". It matches the Rfam family "Bacterial large subunit ribosomal RNA", at positions 14 to 2302 of the family's 2925-position model. The record is from RNAcentral.
AGAGCAUACGGUGGAUGCCUUGGCGAUAUCUGCCGACGAAGGACGCGACAAGCUGCGAAAAGCUGCGGAGAGGCGCAAAUAGCCAUAGACCCGCAGAUAUCCGAAUGGAGCAAUCCGGCUGCGGUCAUGCGCAGUCAUCCAUGUCAUAGAACAUGAGAAGGGAACCCGGCGAACUGAAACAUCUAAGUAGCCGGAGGAAAAGAAAUCAACCGAGAUACCCCAAGUAGCGGCGAGCGAACGGGGCAGACGCCCAAACCGGAGAAGGAAACUUCCUCGGGGUUGCGGACUGUCAACAAUCAAUGAAAGUUAGCUGAACCUGUUGGGAAACAGGGCCGAAGACAGUGAGAGCCUGGUAAGCGAAAACAGACAUUGAGGGACAGGAUCCAGAGUACCGCGGGACACGAGAAACCCCGUGGGAAACAGGGGGGACCACCCUCCAAGGCAAAACACAGAUAUCGACCGAUAGCGCAUAGUACCAUGAGGGAAAGGUGAAAAGCACCCCGGGAGGGGAGUGAAAGAGUACCUGAAACCGUAUGUUUACAAACAGUCGGAGACCGUAUAUAUACCAGGUCGACGGCGUGCCUAUUGAAGAAUGAGCCAGCGAGUUACGAGGUCCGGCGAGGUUAAGCAGGAAAUGCGGAGCCGAAGCGAAAGCGAGUCUGAACAGGGCGCGAGUCGGAUUGCGUAGACCCGAAACCACAGUGAUCUACCCAUGUCCAGGUUGAAGCACAGGUAAAAAUGUGUGGAGGACCGAACCUAUAUCUGUUGAAAAAGGUUAGGAUGAGGUGUGGGUAGGGGUGAAAUUCCAAUCGAACGUGGAGAUAGCUGGUUCUCCCCGAAAUAGCUUUAGGGCUAGCCUCAGGGUGAGAUUGCAGGCGGUAGAGCACUGAUCAGGAGCGGGACCUGCCCGGUUACCAAACCCAGUCAAACUACGAAUGGCUGCAAUUAUACCUGGGAGUCAGACUACGAGCGAUAAGACCCGUGGUCAAAAGGGAAACAGCCCAGAUCAUCAGCUAAGGUCCCAAAUGCCGUGCUAAGUGGCGAAGGAUGUGGCAUUUCAUAAACAACCAGGAUGUUGGCUCAGAAGCAGCCACACAUUUAAAGAGUGCGUAAUAGCUCACUGGUCGAGAGACGCUGCGCCGAAAAUGUCCGGGGCUCAAGCACGGAACCGAAGCUAUGGCAUUGCUUAAGCAAUGGGUAGGGGAGCGUUCUUAUUGGGGAAAAGCGGUACCGUAAGGAGCCGUGGACCGAUAAGAAGUGAGAAUGCUGGCAUGAGUAUCGAAAAGAAAGGUGAGAAUCCUUUCCACCGAAAGCCCGAGGGUUCCUGAGCAACGAUCGUCGUCUCAGGGUAAGUCGGGACCUAAGCCGAGGCGGAGAAGCGUAGGCGAUGGACAACAGGUUGAAAUUCCUGUACUGCUUUAUGUCGUUUGAGUGAUGGAGUGACGCAGGAGGGCACAUGAUCGCGCGAUUGGAAGAGCGCGUCCAAGCGAGUAGUUUGAAUAUGAGUCAAAUGCCAUAUUCUGAAAGACGAGACGUGACGGGGAAUUAGAGGAAACUCUGAGGAACUCAUGGAUCCCACACUGCCGAGAAAAGCUUCUAGCGAGACAUAAGGCACCCGUACCGUAAACCGACACAGGUAGGCGGGGAGAGAAUCCUAAGGUGCGCGGGAAAACCCUCGUUAAGGAACUCGGCAAAUUGCAUCCGUAACUUCGGGAAAAGGAUGGCCCUGAGUAGGCGAAGGACAGAAACGUCCGGAACCGGAAAGGGCGGCAGAAAAGAGGCCCAAGCAACUGUUUACCAAAAACACAGGUGCCUGCGAAAGCGAAAGCUGAAGUAUAGGUGCUGACGCCUGCCCGGUGCUGGAAGGUUAAGGAGAGAUGUCAGCUUAGGCGAAGCAUUGAACUGAAGCCCCAGUGAACGGCGGCCGUAACUAUAACGGUCCUAAGGUAGCGAAAUUCCUUGUCGGGCAAGUUCCGACCCGCAUGAAAGGCGUAAUGAUUUGGGCACUGUCUCAACGAGGGGCCCGGUGAAAUUGAAAUACCUGUGAAGAUGCAGGUUACCCGCGACUGGACAGAAAGACCCCAUGGAGCUUUACUGCAGCUUGAGACGGAAUUCCGGUGACAGAUGCACAGGAUAGGUGGGAGGCUUUGAAGGCAGGACUUUGGUCUUGCUGGAGCCGCUGUUGGGAUACCACCCUUCUGCUGCUGGAAUUCUAACGCGAAGAGUAACGACCUUGCGGACAAUCUCAGGCAGGCGGUUUGACUGGGGCGGUCGCCUCCGAAAGAGUAACG